This 301-nucleotide ribosomal RNA is filed under the name uncultured bacterium. Its description in RNAcentral is "partial 16S ribosomal RNA". It matches the Rfam family "Bacterial small subunit ribosomal RNA", at positions 509 to 807 of the family's 1533-position model. The record is from RNAcentral.
CAGUCGCCGCGGGAAUACGAAGGGGGCUAGCGUUGCUCGGAAUGACUGGGCGUAAAGGGCGCGUAGGCGGAUGGCACAGUCAGAUGUGAAAUUCCCGGGCUUAACCUGGGGGCUGCAUUUGAUACGUGUUGUCUAGAGUGAGGAAGAGGGUCGUGGAAUUCCCAGUGUAGAGGUGAAAUUCGUAGAUAUUGGGAAGAACACCGGUGGCGAAGGCGGCGACCUGGUCCUUUACUGACGCUGAGGCGCGAAAGCGUGGGGAGCAAACAGGAUUAGAUACCCCUGUAGUCCCUGUCUCUUAUAC